RNAcentral lists this ribosomal RNA (253 nucleotides) under uncultured bacterium. RNAcentral's name for it is "partial 16S ribosomal RNA". It matches the Rfam family "Bacterial small subunit ribosomal RNA", at positions 524 to 776 of the family's 1533-position model. The record is from RNAcentral.
GACAGAGGUCUCAAGCGUUGUUCGGAAUCACUGGGCGUAAAGGGUGUGUAGGCUGCGUGUUAAGUCAGAUGUGAAAUCCCGGGGCUCAACCUCGGAACUGCAUCCGAUACUGGCAUGCUAGAGAAUUGGAGAGGAGUCUAGAAUUCACGGUGUAGCAGUGAAAUGCGUAGAUAUCGUGAGGAAUACCAAGUGCGAAGGCAGGACUCUGGACAUUUUCUGACGCUGAGACACGAAGGCUAGGGGAGCAAACGGG